UACGGAGGGUGCGAGCGUUGUCCGGAAUCAUUGGGCGUAAAGGGCGCGUAGGUGGCCCCUCAAGCGUGCGGUGAAAGUCAGGGGCUCAACCCCUGAUCGGCCGUGCGAACUGGGGAGCUUGAGCACUGUAGAGGCAGGCGGAAUUCCGGGUGUAGCGGUGGAAUGCGUAGAGAUCCGGAAGAACACCGGUGGCGAAGGCGGUGAGCUGGGCAGUUGCUGACACUGAGGCGCGACAGCGUGGGGAGCAAACAGG
This 253-nucleotide ribosomal RNA is filed under the name uncultured bacterium. Its description in RNAcentral is "partial 16S ribosomal RNA". It matches the Rfam family "Bacterial small subunit ribosomal RNA", at positions 524 to 776 of the family's 1533-position model. The record is from RNAcentral.